UCUUCAAGCUGGCCAUAUAUUGACUAAAAACUUUUAUAUUGUAAAUAUUUAUCUUUUUUAUUUCUUUCCUUGUUUACAAGAAAAUAGAUGACUCGAGUGUUACAAACAAUAGUUUUUAAGGAAUAAUGUGAAAUAAGUUAAUUUUUAUUUGGUAAAAAACGUAAUCAACGUGAUAACUUAAUAACAUUAAGUAGUCCUACCAGACACUAACUUAGAUGAUCCUGGAGCAAAGGCUGUAAUUUGACCUGAACCCAAAUUGGUCUCUAUUUUAAAUAUUGUCUUGAACCAAUAAGUUAAGAGGACUAACCUUUCUGGACGACAUUGCCAUCGACAUCACUGCAGAUGAGAGAGAAAGAGAGACCAGAGUUGUGGACCCUGGAGGCAAUUACCAUACUGCCGUGAUAAUGUUACUUGGUCUAACCAUAACUUAAGUGAGAACUGAAGCCUACCAGUAAAAUGGGGGCGUUGUAAUUAAUAUCCUCCGACAUUGGAGAAUACAGGGGAGAGGUGCCAGAGGAAGAGGAGAUCGAGGAUGGGGCGAAGUAAAGACUAAGAUUGAAGAGAACUAACUAAUGGCCUGAUGACAGGGUGGAUGGCGAUGGAGGCAUGGAGGUUGGGGGAGAGGAGGCUGAAGAAGUGGAGACAAAUCAGUUUGGAUCCAUUAUGUUGAUUAGUUUAACAUUUAUUUUGAACAUCAGUAUUUACAUUUUUUUCUCAUUUAGAUUAUUAAAUUAAGAUAAUUUUAUUGUUUUUAUGAAGAUUUUUUCUUACAUUUUUAAUAUUUGUUUGUACUUCUGCCUGGUAAAAAAAAUACUGUUUAUUAUGUUUGUUAAAAUGAUUACUUUCACUAACUUACCUUGUCUUGGGUAACAAGAGAUAUCUUGAUAUUUAACUAGCAGGGUGCCUGUUCUAUGGGCGGGGAUUGUAUAAGUCAGUAGAAACCUUCUUAUAUUUCGAUACUUGGUAAAUUAAUCAUUUCCAACUUUAUAUAGUAUAGAUCGCUAUUCCUGUAUUGAUGUACUGAAAUGAAUAAAAUUAUAUGAAAUGAAA
This is a long non-coding RNA of Macrosteles quadrilineatus (aster leafhopper), 1050 nucleotides long. RefSeq lists it as uncharacterized. Lineage: Eukaryota; Metazoa; Arthropoda; Insecta; Hemiptera; Cicadellidae. The record is from RefSeq and is a predicted model, not a curated record. The transcript is spliced from 4 exons.